AUGUCCUCACGGCGAGCGCGAUCUUCGAUCGCUGCCUCCGGCCAGUCUUCGGAUUGGAAAAGAGGCGCCAGACGACUGGCGACGGCCUCUGGCCUGUAUGGGCGAGCGUCACUGACGUCGAGUUCGUAGAGAUCGGGCCUGUAGCUCAGUUGGUUAGAGCACACGCNUGAUAAGCGUGGG
RNAcentral lists this unclassified non-coding RNA (180 nucleotides) under uncultured Rhizobiaceae bacterium. RNAcentral's name for it is "partial 16S-23S ribosomal RNA intergenic spacer". Lineage: Bacteria; Pseudomonadati; Pseudomonadota; Alphaproteobacteria; Hyphomicrobiales; Rhizobiaceae. The record is from RNAcentral.